CAGUAGCCGCGGUAAUACGUAGGGUGCAAGCGUUAAUCGGAAUUACUGGGCGUAAAGCGUGCGCAGGCGGUUCUAUAAGACAGAUGUGAAAUCCCCGGGCUCAACCUGGGAACUGCAUUUGUGACUGUAGAGCUGGAGUGCGGCAGAGGGGGAUGGAAUUCCGCGUGUAGCAGUGAAAUGCGUAGAUAUGCGGAGGAACACCGAUGGCGAAGGCAAUCCCCUGGGCCUGCACUGACGCUCAUGCACGAAAGCGUGGGGAGCAAACAGGAUUAGAUACCCCAGUAGUCCCUGUCUCUUAUAC
Molecule: ribosomal RNA, 301 nt
Filed under: uncultured bacterium
Lineage: Bacteria
Description: partial 16S ribosomal RNA
Rfam family: Bacterial small subunit ribosomal RNA
Source: RNAcentral